Molecule: long non-coding RNA, 408 nt
Organism: Balaenoptera ricei (Rice's whale)
Lineage: Eukaryota; Metazoa; Chordata; Mammalia; Artiodactyla; Balaenopteridae
Exons: 3
Source: RefSeq, a predicted model, not a curated record
CUCGGCUGCGGGUGGCGCCCCGGAGUCCGAGGAAGCGGCGGGGGACGCAGGACGCUCUCCGAGGUCGCCCCCGGGCAGAGGAUUUCCAGACCUGAUCAGGGAGCCGGACUCCUCUGUGUCACCGCUUAGAACACACAUCCUUUCUUUGCUAUCAACAUCGUUGAUCAUCAACCACCGCAGACAUCUGCAUGUGUGACUUUAAAAAGCCAAUGCAGCAGCAUUUUGGUUGAAGGUGCUGUCGCCUCUCUCUGACUCCAUCCUGGCUGAGAAGACGGUGACCGUCCUGGAUGACCGUGUCACCAUCGUGGACCUGGGCGUGCAGUUGGUGGCCUGCUUGUCUCUUUCCCUGAAGCCUCACAGGUCGGACAAAAGAGCCGUCAUCUCAACAGUGGCUGCCCAGGGCGUUCU